UGCAAGUCGAACGAUGAAGCCCAGCUUGCUGGGUGGAUUAGUGGCGAACGGGUGAGUAACACGUGAGCAACCUGCCCCUGACUCUGGGAUAAGCGCUGGAAACGGCGUCUAAUACUGGAUAUGUCCCGUCACCGCAUGGUGUGCGGGUGGAAAGAUUUUUCGGUUGGGGAUGGGCUCGCGGCCUAUCAGCUUGUUGGUGAGGUAAUGGCUCACCAAGGCGUCGACGGGUAGCCGGCCUGAGAGGGUGACCGGCCACACUGGGACUGAGACACGGCCCAGACUCCUACGGGAGGCAGCAGUGGGGAAUAUUGCACAAUGGGCGGAAGCCUGAUGCAGCAACGCCGCGUGAGGGAUGACGGCCUUCGGGUUGUAAACCUCUUUUAGCAGGGAAGAAGCGAGAGUGACGGUACCUGCAGAAAAAGCACCGGCUAACUACGUGCCAGCAGCCGCGGUAAUACGUAGGGUGCAAGCGUUAUCCGGAAUUAUUGGGCGUAAAGAGCUCGUAGGCGGUCUGUCGCGUCUGCUGUGAAAUCCCGAGGCUCAACCUCGGGCUUGCAGUGGGUACGGGCAGACUAGAGUGCGGUAGGGGAGAUUGGAAUUCCUGGUGUAGCGGUGGAAUGCGCAGAUAUCAGGAGGAACACCGAUGGCGAAGGCAGAUCUCUGGGCCGUAACUGACGCUGAGGAGCGAAAGGGUGGGGAGCAAACAGGCUUAGAUACCCUGGUAGUCCACCCCGUAAACGUUGGGAACUAGUUGUGGGGUCCUUUCCACGGAUUCCGUGACGCAGCUAACGCAUUAAGUUCCCCGCCUGGGGAGUACGGCCGCAAGGCUAAAACUCAAAGGAAUUGACGGGGACCCGCACAAGCGGCGGA
Molecule: ribosomal RNA, 870 nt
Filed under: Microbacterium esteraromaticum
Lineage: Bacteria; Bacillati; Actinomycetota; Actinomycetes; Micrococcales; Microbacteriaceae
Description: bacterial SSU rRNA
Rfam family: Bacterial small subunit ribosomal RNA
Source: RNAcentral